Molecule: long non-coding RNA, 352 nt
Organism: Poecile atricapillus (Black-capped chickadee)
Lineage: Eukaryota; Metazoa; Chordata; Aves; Passeriformes; Paridae
Exons: 3
Source: RefSeq, a predicted model, not a curated record
UCUGGGUUGGGUUUUUGGUGUAUCUGGGUUGGGUUUUGAAGUGUUCCAGGAGUUUUUGGUGUAUCUCAGCUGGGUUUUGGUGUAUCUCAGAUGGGUUUUGGUGUAUCUCAGUUGGGUUUUGGUGUAUCUCAGGUGGGUUUUGGUGUAUCUCAGUUGGUUUUUGGUGUAUCUCAGCUGGGUUUUGGUGUAUCUGGGUUGGGUUUUGGGGUGUCCCAGGAGUUUUUGGGGUAUCUCAGUUGGGUUUUGGUGUAUCUCAGUUGGGUUUUGGUGUAUCUGGGUUGGGUUUUGAGGUGUCCCAGUGGUUUUUGGGGUGGGUUUUGCUGUCACCUUGCUGUCCCCGGUGGGGAAGAUG